RNAcentral lists this non-coding RNA (30 nucleotides) under Rattus norvegicus (Norway rat). Lineage: Eukaryota; Metazoa; Chordata; Mammalia; Rodentia; Muridae. The record is from RNAcentral.
UCAUUGCGACUGCUCUUCUAAGUGUGGUUU